GUGUCUACUAAAGUUCAUGGCACCCCAGACGUUGGUUCUGGUCCUGGCCCUGGCCCAGUGCUAGUCUGGAUGCAAAGCAGCCAUUGUGAAGAACAUUGAUGAUGGUACCUCAGAUCAUCCCUACAGCCAUGCUCUCUCUUGUGACUGAAAUGGACUGCUAUUCCCACAAAGUGACAGCUGCCAUGGACAAGAAGAAAAUCGUCAAGAGGUCAAAGAUCAAUGUUUUGUGAAAGUUUAUAACUACAAUCACCUCAUGCCCACAGGGUACUCUGUGGACAUCCCCUUAGACAAAACUGUUAUCAUCAAAGGUAUCUUCAGAGACCCAACUUUAUACAUGCUACUUGUCAGUGUUUAUUCAGGAAUCUCUUUGUAGCUAUUGUGAAGGAUUUGUCCAGCAUUAAAACUGAGUAAAGAUAAAUAAGCAUUGCUUUGUAAGUUCAUUACAACCUAAAUUAAAAAUGAAUACAAUGG
Neofelis nebulosa (Clouded leopard) is the source of this 471-nucleotide long non-coding RNA. RefSeq lists it as uncharacterized. The record is from RefSeq and is a predicted model, not a curated record. Lineage: Eukaryota; Metazoa; Chordata; Mammalia; Carnivora; Felidae. The transcript has 2 exons.